CAGCGAGCAGCUUGUUGAUUUUUAGGUUUUGCCGCAAGCAGCUUGUUGAUUGUAAGUAUUAAUUUGUCUAUUUUGUAUCUUUAAUUCAGCAGUAAAAUUUUAAUGAGUUGUAUCUUUCAGAUAGCGCUUGAAGAUGCCACUGUCUAGUACUUGUAUUAAGUGUUCUUGUUUGAUUAAUGAGAGUAUAAACUGCUUACGAAGCUUGUGUGUGGGUUUUGCAGCAAGCAGCUUGUUGGUUGUAAGUAUUAAUUUGUCUAUUUUGUGUCCUUAAUUCAGCAGUAAAAUUUUAAUGAGUUGUAUCUUUCAGAUAGCGCUUGAAGAUGACACUGUCUGGUACUUGUAUAAAGUGUUCGUGAUUUAUUAAUGAGAGUAUAAACUUUUUCAGCCUGCAUGCGAGGGAAUCACAUACACAAUU
Drosophila mojavensis is the source of this 415-nucleotide long non-coding RNA. RefSeq lists it as uncharacterized. The record is from RefSeq and is a predicted model, not a curated record. NCBI's taxonomy places the organism in Eukaryota, Metazoa, Arthropoda, Insecta, Diptera, Drosophilidae. The transcript is spliced from 3 exons.